UGGUGACCUGAGGCUCCCCGGCUGUCACUCUGUCCCAGGCCCGUCCAGGCCACGGGCACAGGCUAAGUCACAGUAGAGUCUGUGGGGUCCUGACCC
RNAcentral lists this microRNA precursor (96 nucleotides) under Canis lupus familiaris (dog). RNAcentral describes it as "mir-8813 microRNA precursor family". It matches the Rfam family "mir-8813 microRNA precursor family". RNAcentral also lists the same sequence under 1 other name. The record is from Rfam by way of RNAcentral. Lineage: Eukaryota; Metazoa; Chordata; Mammalia; Carnivora; Canidae.